AUCUUGCGCAAUGGGCGAAAGCCUGACGCAGCAACGCCGCGUGCGGGAUGACGGCCUUCGUGGUUGUAAACCGCUUUCAGCAGGGACGAAAAUGACGGUACCUGCAGAAGAAGCCCCGGCUAACUACGUUCCAGCAGCCGCGGUAAUACGUAGGGGGCAAGCGUUGUCCGGAUUCAUUGGGCGUAAAGAGCUCGUAGGCGGUUCAGUAAGUCGGGUGUGAAAGCUCCGAGCUCAACUCGGAGAUGCCACCCGAUACUGCUGUGACUUGAGUCCAGUAGAGGAGCGUGGAAUUCCUGGUGUAGCGGUGAAAUGCGCAGAUAUCAGGAGGAACACCGGCAGCGAAGGCGGCGCUCUGGGCUGGAACUGACGCUGAGGAGCGAAAGCGUGGGUAGCAAACAGG
Molecule: ribosomal RNA, 400 nt
Filed under: uncultured bacterium
Lineage: Bacteria
Description: bacterial SSU rRNA
Rfam family: Bacterial small subunit ribosomal RNA
Source: RNAcentral